CACGUAGGAGGCGAGCGUUGUCCGGAAUCAUUGGGCGUAAAGAGCGCGCAGGCGGCUUGGCAAGUCGGGUGUGAAAUCCCGGGGCUCAACCCCGGGACUGCAGUCGAUACGGGCAGGCUAGAGUUCGGUAGGGGAGAUCGGAAUUCCUGGUGUAGCGGUGAAAUGCGCAGAUAUCAGGAGGAACACCGGUGGCGAAGGCGGAUCUCUGGGCCGAUACUGACGCUGAGGAGCGAAAGCGUGGGGAGCGAACAGG
This 253-nucleotide ribosomal RNA is filed under the name uncultured bacterium. RNAcentral describes it as "partial 16S ribosomal RNA". It matches the Rfam family "Bacterial small subunit ribosomal RNA", at positions 524 to 776 of the family's 1533-position model. The record is from RNAcentral.